Molecule: ribosomal RNA, 468 nt
Filed under: uncultured bacterium
Lineage: Bacteria
Description: partial 16S ribosomal RNA
Rfam family: Bacterial small subunit ribosomal RNA
Source: RNAcentral
GACGAACGCUGGCGGCGUGCUUAACACAUGCAAGUCGAACGGAAAGGCCCUGCUUUUGUGGGGUGCUCGAGUGGCGAACGGAUGAGUAACACGUGAGUAACCUGCCCUUGACUUUGGGAUAACUUCAGGAAACUGGGGCUAAUACCGGAUAGGAGCUCCUGCUGCAUGGUGGGGGUUGGAAAGUUUCGGCGGUUGGGGAUGGACCCGCGGCUUAUCAGCUUGUUGGUGGGGUAGUGGCUUACCAAGGCUUUGACGGGUAGCCGGCCUGAGAGGGUGACCGGCCACAUUGGGACUGAGAUACGGCCCAGACUCCUACGGGAGGCAGCAGUGGGGAAUAUUGCACAAUGGGCGGAAGCCUGAUGCAGCAACGCCGCGUGCGGGAUGACGGCCUUCGGGUUGUAAACCGCUUUCGCCUGUGACGAAGCGUGAGUGACGGUAAUGGGUAAAGAAGCACCGGCUAACUACGUG